Molecule: ribosomal RNA, 543 nt
Filed under: Alternaria alternata
Lineage: Eukaryota; Fungi; Ascomycota; Dothideomycetes; Pleosporales; Pleosporaceae
Description: eukaryotic LSU rRNA
Rfam family: 5.8S ribosomal RNA (bases 171-324)
Source: RNAcentral
CUUCAACCAAAGGGAAGAAAAGGCUGGAACCUCUCGGGGGUACAGCCUUGCUGAAUUAUUCACCCUUGUCUUUUGCGUACUUCUUGUUUCCUUGGGGGGUUCGCCCACCGCUAGGACAAACAUAAACCUUUUGUAAUUGCAAUCCGCGUCAGUAACAAAUUAAUAAUUACAACUUUCAACAACGGAUCUCUUGGUUCUGGCAUCGAUGAAGAACGCAGCGAAAUGCGAUAAGUAGUGUGAAUUGCAGAAUUCAGUGAAUCAUCGAAUCUUUGAACGCACAUUGCGCCCUUUGGUAUUCCAAAGGGCAUGCCUGUUCGAGCGCCAUUUGUACCCUCAAGCUGUGGAUGGUGGUGGGCGUCUUGUCUCUAGCUUUGCUGGGUGCUCGCCUUAAAGUAUUUGGCUGCCGCCUACUGGGUUCGGAGCGCAACGCAAAGUCGCACUCUCUAUCAGAAAGGGCUAGAAACCUUUAAGCCCUUUUUUCCACUUUUGACCUCGCCCCCGUUCGGAUACCCGCAGAAUUCAACCUAUGAUUCACCUGGAGAA